RNAcentral lists this ribosomal RNA (508 nucleotides) under uncultured bacterium. Its description in RNAcentral is "partial 16S ribosomal RNA". It matches the Rfam family "Bacterial small subunit ribosomal RNA", at positions 28 to 523 of the family's 1533-position model. The record is from RNAcentral.
GAUGAACGCUAGCUACAGGCUUAACACAUGCAAGUCGAGGGGAAACGACAUCGAAAGCUUGCUUUCGAUGGGCGUCGACCGGCGCACGGGUGAGUAACGCGUAUCCAACCUGCCCACCACUUGGGGAUAACCUUGCGAAAGUAAGACUAAUACCCACUGAUAUCUCUAGAAGACAUCGGAAAGAGAUUAAAGAUUUAUCGGUGCUGGAUGGGGAUGCGUCUGAUUAGCUUGGUGGCGGGGUAACGGCCCACCAAGGCUACGAUCAGUAGGGGUUCUGAGAGGAAGGUCCCCCACAUUGGAACUGAGACACGGUCCAAACUCCUACGGGAGGCAGCAGUGAGGAAUAUUGGUCAAUGGACGAGAGUCUGAACCAGCCAAGUAGCGUGCAGGAUGACGGCCCUAUGGGUUGUAAACUGCUUUUAUAAGGGAAUAAAGUGAGUCUCGUGAGACUUUUUGCAUGUACCUUAUGAAUAAGGACCGGCUAAUUCCGUGCCAGCCGCCGCCGUAA